GGAGAGGUGGCAGAGUGGUCGAUUGCGCUCGACUUGAAAUCGAGUGAGCCGAAAGGUUCCGAGGGUUCGAAUCCCUCCCUCUCCG
Transfer RNA from Leptolyngbya sp. Heron Island J, 85 nucleotides. It matches the Rfam family "tRNA". From Rfam's summary of the family: Transfer RNA (tRNA) molecules are approximately 80 nucleotides in length. Their secondary structure includes four short double-helical elements and three loops (D, anti-codon, and T loops). Lineage: Bacteria; Bacillati; Cyanobacteriota; Cyanophyceae; Leptolyngbyales; Leptolyngbyaceae. The record is from Rfam.